ACACACACACACACACACACACACACACACACACUCCUAUCUAAUGCACUUAUGUAAAAGAAUUACAAAUUUCUUAAAACAAAUAUACUACGUACAUGUAAUAAUAUUAAAAAUUGCACAUAAAAACUACUAUAUUACAAAAGGUAUGAUUCAUAAAUCAAAAAGAAUUUAACGUUCUACCUAAUAUAUAACCUCCAUACCCUC
RNAcentral lists this long non-coding RNA (204 nucleotides) under Capsicum annuum. Its description in RNAcentral is "long non-coding RNA (CANN_LNC012201)". Lineage: Eukaryota; Viridiplantae; Streptophyta; Magnoliopsida; Solanales; Solanaceae. The record is from RNAcentral.